Molecule: small RNA, 158 nt
Filed under: Pararhodobacter aggregans
Lineage: Bacteria; Pseudomonadati; Pseudomonadota; Alphaproteobacteria; Rhodobacterales; Paracoccaceae
Description: 6S / SsrS RNA
Source: RNAcentral
CGGGUUCUGCUCUUCUCGAGGACGGCACUUUUCCAGUGGCCGAUAAGCAUUUCCGAGGGGGCUGGCUCUGCCGGGAUUCUGGUCCCGGUAUCUGGCGCCCACCUGAUUCGUCAGGCUCUCGGGAAAACACAGCCCGAUACGGUCGCUGCGGGCCCGCC